This 240-nucleotide unclassified non-coding RNA is filed under the name soil metagenome. RNAcentral describes it as "partial contains 5.8S ribosomal RNA, internal transcribed spacer 2, and large subunit ribosomal RNA". The record is from RNAcentral.
AACAAGGCGUACCUGCGGACCUGCGGAGGGAUCAUUAAAAAGAGUGUGUACCCCUCUGUAAAAUGAGUGGGUUACCUCCCGUCCUUUGUUGACCUCUUAGGAGGUUAUUUUGAACUUUCUGCUUCGGUGGGGUUAAACCUACCGGAACACCCUCAAAUUCUUAUCAUUUGAAAAUUGUUCAGUCUGAUUUUUGUUAAUAAAAACAAAAAACUUUUAACAACGGAUCUCAGAUCGGAAGAG